GAACGGGAUUUCGGAGCUUGCUCCGAUGAGAGUGGCGCACGGGUGAGUAACGCGUAGAUAAUCUGCCUGAUGAUCUGGGAUAACAGUUCGAAAGGACUGCUAAUACCGGAUAAGCCCACGGAGACCUUGGUCUUUGCGGGAAAAGGGGGGGACCUUCGGGCCUUCCGUCAUCAGAUGAGUCUGCGUACCAUUAGCUAGUUGGUAGGGUAAAGGCCUACCAAGGCGACGAUGGUUAGCUGGUCUGAGAGGAUGAUCAGCCACACUGGAACUGAGACACGGUCCAGACUCCUACGGGAGGCAGCAGUGGGGAAUUUUGCGCAAUGGGGGAAACCCUGACGCAGCAACGCCGCGUGAGUGAUGAAGGCUUCUUGGGUCGUAAAGCUCUGACAGAGGGAAAGAAGUGUAUGGUGGUUAAUACCCAUUGUACUUGACGGUACCCUCAAAGGAAGCACCGGCUAACUCCGUGCCAGCAGCCGCGGUAAUACGGGGGGUGCAAGCGUUGUUCGGAUUUAUUGGGCGUAAAGCGCGUGUAGGCGGUUUUUUAAGUCUGAUGUGAAAGCCCCGGGCUCAACCUGGGAAGUGCAUUGGAAACUGGAAGACUUGAAUACGGGAGAGGGCAGUGGAAUUCCUAGUGUAGGAGUGAAAUCCGUAGAUAUUAGGAGGAACACCGGUGGCGAAGGCGGCUGCCUGGACCGAUAUUGACGCUGAGACGCGAAAGCGUGGGUAGCAAACA
This 733-nucleotide ribosomal RNA is filed under the name uncultured delta proteobacterium. RNAcentral describes it as "bacterial SSU rRNA". It matches the Rfam family "Bacterial small subunit ribosomal RNA", at positions 64 to 774 of the family's 1533-position model. Lineage: Bacteria; Deltaproteobacteria. The record is from RNAcentral.